AGCACCACAACAGGUGGAGCCUGCGGUUUAAUCGGACUCAACGCCGGGAAACUCACCAGAUAAGACAGCUGAAUGAUAGUCGGGCUGAAGACUCUACUUGACUAGCUGAGAGGAGGUGCAUGGCCGUCGUCAGUUCGUACUGUGAAGCAUCCUGUUAAGUCAGGCAACGAGCGAGACCCACGCCAACAGUUGCCAGCUCGUCCUCCGGGAUGGUGGGGACACUGUUGGGACCGCCUCUGCUAAAGAGGAGGAAGGAAUGGGCAACGGUAGGUCAGCAUGCCCCGAAUUAUCUGGGCUACACGCGGGCUACAAUGGGUGGGACAAUGGGUAUCGACACCGAAAGGUGAAGGCAAUCUCCUAAACCCAUCCGUAGUUCGGAUUGUGGGCUGCAACUCGCCCACAUGAAGCUGGAAUCUGUAGUAAUCGUGUCUCAAAAUGGCACGGUGAAUACUGUCCUGCUCCUU
RNAcentral lists this ribosomal RNA (464 nucleotides) under uncultured Methanomicrobiales archaeon. RNAcentral describes it as "bacterial SSU rRNA". It matches the Rfam family "Archaeal small subunit ribosomal RNA", at positions 875 to 1338 of the family's 1478-position model. The record is from RNAcentral. Lineage: Archaea; Methanobacteriati; Methanobacteriota; Methanomicrobia; Methanomicrobiales.